UGGGGGAAUAUUGCACAAUGGGCGCAAGCCUGAUGCAGCGACGCCGCGUGGAUGAUGAAGGCCGGAAGGUUGUAAAGUCCUUUUGGGCGCAAAGAAUAAGUACGCGAGGAAAUGCGCGUGCGGUGACGGUAGCGCCUGAAUAAGCAACGGCUAAUUACGUGCCAGCAGCCGCGGUAACACGUAAGUUGCGAGCGUUGUUCGGAAUUAUUGGGCGUAAAAGGGCAAUGUAGGCGGUCGUGCAAGCUUGGUGUGAAAUCCCGGGGCUUAACUCCGGGACUGCGUUGAGAACUGCACGGCUAGAGUAACUGAGGGGCAGCCGGAAUUCCAGGUGUAGGGGUGAAAUCUGUAGAUAUCUGGAAGAACACCAAUGGCGAAGGCAGGCUGCCAGCAGAUUACUGACGCUGAGGUGCGAAGGUGCGGGGAGC
This 425-nucleotide ribosomal RNA is filed under the name uncultured Treponema sp. RNAcentral's name for it is "bacterial SSU rRNA". It matches the Rfam family "Bacterial small subunit ribosomal RNA", at positions 354 to 769 of the family's 1533-position model. The record is from RNAcentral. Lineage: Bacteria; Pseudomonadati; Spirochaetota; Spirochaetia; Treponematales; Treponemataceae.